UUUGGUUAAGUUAGAAAGGGCGCACGGUGGAUGCCUUGACACUAGGAGUCGAUGAAGGACGGGACUAACGCCGAUAUGCUUCGGGGAGCUGUAAGUAAGCUUUGAUCCGAAGAUUUCCGAAUGGGGAAACCCACCAUACGUAAUGGUAUGGUAUCCUUACCUGAAUACAUAGGGUAAGGAAGACAGACCCAGGGAACUGAAACAUCUAAGUACCUGGAGGAAGAGAAAGCAAAUGCGAUUUCCUGAGUAGCGGCGAGCGAAACGGAACAUAGCCCAAACCAAGAGGCUUGCCUCUUGGGGUUGUAGGACAUUCUAUACGGAGUUACAAAGGAACGAGGUAGACGAAGCGACCUGGAAAGGUCCGUCGUAGAGGGUAACAACCCCGUAGUCGAAACUUCGUUCUCUCUUGAAUGUAUCCUGAGUACGGCGGAACACGUGAAAUUCCGUCGGAAUCUGGGAGGACCAUCUCCCAAGGCUAAAUACUCCCUAGUGAUCGAUAGUGAACCAGUACCGUGAGGGAAAGGUGAAAAGCACCCCGGAAGGGGAGUGAAAGAGAUCCUGAAACCGUGUGCCUACAAAUAGUCAGAGCCCGUUAACGGGUGAUGGCGUGCCUUUUGUAGAAUGAACCGGCGAGUUACGAUCCCGUGCGAGGUUAAGCUGAAGAGGCGGAGCCGCAGCGAAAGCGAGUCUGAAUAGGGCGUUUAGUACGUGGUCGUAGACCCGAAACCAGGUGAUCUACCCAUGUCCAGGGUGAAGUUCAGGUAACACUGAAUGGAGGCCCGAACCCACGCACGUUGAAAAGUGCGGGGAUGAGGUGUGGGUAGCGGAGAAAUUCCAAUCGAACCUGGAGAUAGCUGGUUCUCCCCGAAAUAGCUUUAGGGCUAGCCUUAAGUGUAAGAGUCUUGGAGGUAGAGCACUGAUUGGACUAGGGGUCCUCAUCGGAUUACCGAAUUCAGUCAAACUCCGAAUGCCAAUGACUUAUCCUUAGGAGUCAGACUGCGAGUGAUAAGAUCCGUAGUCAAAAGGGAAACAGCCCAGACCGCCAGCUAAGGUCCCAAAGUGUGUAUUAAGUGGAAAAGGAUGUGGAGUUGCUUAGACAACUAGGAUGUUGGCUUAGAAGCAGCCACCAUUUAAAGAGUGCGUAAUAGCUCACUAGUCGAGUGACUCUGCGCCGAAAAUGUACCGGGGCUAAAUACACCACCGAAGCUGCGGAUUGAUACCGAAUGGUAUCAGUGGUAGGGGAGCGUUCUAAGGACAGUGAAGUCAGACCGGAAGGACUGGUGGAGUGCUUAGAAGUGAGAAUGCCGGUAUGAGUAGCGAAAGACGGGUGAGAAUCCCGUCCACCGAAUGCCUAAGGUUUCCUGAGGAAGGCUCGUCCGCUCAGGGUUAGUCAGGACCUAAGCCGAGGCCGACAGGCGUAGGCGAUGGACAACAGGUUGAUAUUCCUGUACCACCUCUUUAUCGUUUGAGCAAUGGAGGGACGCAGAAGGAUAGAAGAAGCGUGCGAUUGGUUGUGCACGUCCAAGCAGUUAGGCUGAUAAGUAGGCAAAUCCGCUUAUCAUAAAGGCUGAGCUGUGAUGGGGAAGCUCCUUAUGGAGCGAAGUCUUUGAUUCCCCGCUGCCAAGAAAAGCUUCUAGCGAGAUAAAAGGUGCCUGUACCGCAAACCGACACAGGUAGGCGAGGAGAGAAUCCUAAGGUGUGCGAGAGAACUCUGGUUAAGGAACUCGGCAAAAUGACCCCGUAACUUCGGGAGAAGGGGUGCUUUCUUAACGGAAAGCCGCAGUGAAUAGGCCCAAGCGACUGUUUAGCAAAAACACAGCUCUCUGCGAAGCCGUAAGGCGAAGUAUAGGGGGUGACACCUGCCCGGUGCUGGAAGGUUAAGGAGAGGGGUUAGCGUAAGCGAAGCUCUGAACUGAAGCCCCAGUAAACGGCGGCCGUAACUAUAACGGUCCUAAGGUAGCGAAAUUCCUUGUCGGGUAAGUUCCGACCCGCACGAAAGGUGUAACGAUUUGGGCACUGUCUCAACCAGAGACUCGGUGAAAUUAUAGUACCUGUGAAGAUGCAGGUUACCCGCGACAGGACGGAAAGACCCCGUGGAGCUUUACUGUAGCCUGAUAUUGAAUUUUGGUACAGUUUGUACAGGAUAGGCGGGAGCCAUUGAAACCGGAGCGCUAGCUUCGGUGGAGGCGCUGGUGGGAUACCGCCCUGACUGUAUUGAAAUUCUAACCUACGGGUCUUAUCGACCCGGGAGACAGUGUCAGGUGGGCAGUUUGACUGGGGCGGUCGCCUCCUAAAGUGUAACGGAGGCGCCCAAAGGUUCCCUCAGAAUGGUUGGAAAUCAUUCGUAGAGUGCAAAGGCAUAAGGGAGCUUGACUGCGAGACCUACAAGUCGAGCAGGGACGAAAGUCGGGCUUAGUGAUCCGGUGGUUCCGCAUGGAAGGGCCAUCGCUCAACGGAUAAAAGCUACCCCGGGGAUAACAGGCUUAUCUCCCCCAAGAGUCCACAUCGACGGGGAGGUUUGGCACCUCGAUGUCGGCUCAUCGCAUCCUGGGGCUGUAGUCGGUCCCAAGGGUUGGGCUGUUCGCCCAUUAAAGCGGUACGCGAGCUGGGUUCAGAACGUCGUGAGACAGUUCGGUCCCUAUCCGUCGUGGGCGUAGGAAAUUUGAGAGGAGCUGUCCUUAGUACGAGAGGACCGGGAUGGACGCACCGCUGGUGUACCAGUUGUUCUGCCAAGGGCAUAGCUGGGUAGCUAUGUGCGGAAGGGAUAAGUGCUGAAAGCAUCUAAGCAUGAAGCCCCCCUCAAGAUGAGAUUUCCCAUAGCGUAAGCUAGUAAGAUCCCUGAAAGAUGAUCAGGUUGAUAGGUUCGAGGUGGAAGCAUGGUGACAUGUGGAGCUGACGAAUACUAAUAGAUCGAGGACUUAACCAUAUAA
This 2930-nucleotide ribosomal RNA is filed under the name Bacillus thuringiensis. RNAcentral describes it as "bacterial LSU rRNA". It matches the Rfam family "Bacterial large subunit ribosomal RNA". The record is from RNAcentral. Lineage: Bacteria; Bacillati; Bacillota; Bacilli; Caryophanales; Bacillaceae.